GACGAACGCUGGCAGCGUGCUUAACACAUGCAAGUCGAACGCUGAAGCCCUUCGGGGUGGAUGAGUGGCGAACGGGUGAGUAACACGUGGGUAAUCUGCCCUGCACUCUGGGAUAAGCCUUGGAAACGGGGUCUAAUACCGGAUAGGACACAUCGCCGCAUGGUGUGUGUGUGGAAAGUUCCGGCGGUGCAGGUUGAGCCCGCGGCCUAUCAGCUUGUCGGUGGGGUGAUGGCCUACCAAGGCGACGACGGGUAGCCGGCCUGAGAGGGUGACCGGCCACACUGGGACUGAGACACGGCCCAGACUCCUACGGGAGGCAGCAGUGGGGAAUCUUGCGCAAUGGGCGAAAGCCUGACGCAGCAACGCCGCGUGGGGAUGACGGCCUUCGGGUUGUAAACCUCUUUCGACCGGGACGAAGGAUUCGUUUGACGGUACCGGUAGAAGAAGCACCGGCUAACUACGUGCCAGCCGCCGCAGUAA
This 480-nucleotide ribosomal RNA is filed under the name uncultured bacterium. RNAcentral's name for it is "partial 16S ribosomal RNA". It matches the Rfam family "Bacterial small subunit ribosomal RNA", at positions 28 to 523 of the family's 1533-position model. The record is from RNAcentral.